RNAcentral lists this ribosomal RNA (537 nucleotides) under Geotrichum pseudocandidum. RNAcentral describes it as "Galactomyces pseudocandidus partial 26S ribosomal RNA". It matches the Rfam family "Eukaryotic large subunit ribosomal RNA", at positions 76 to 655 of the family's 3401-position model. Lineage: Eukaryota; Fungi; Ascomycota; Dipodascomycetes; Dipodascales; Dipodascaceae. The record is from RNAcentral.
UGCUUAGUACGGCGAGUGAAGCGGCAAAAGCUCAAAUUUGAAAUCGGCCAUCAGGUCGAGUUGUAAUUUGUAGAUUGUACUUUGAGAGCGGAUUAAAGUCUGUUGGAACACAGCGCCUUAGAGGGUGACAGCCCCGUUAAAAUCUAUUCUCAUUGUAAGGUACUUUCGAAGAGUCGAGUUGUUUGGGAAUGCAGCUCUAAGUGGGAGGUAAAUUCCUUCUAAAGCUAAAUAUUGACGAGAGACCGAUAGCGAACAAGUACUGUGAAGGAAAGAUGAAAAGCACUUUGAAAAGAGAGUGAAAAAGUACGUGAAAUUGUUAAAAGGGAAGGGUAUUGAAUCAGACGUGGUGCUGUUGUUCAACUUUGUUUCGGCAUGGUGUACUCAGCAGUACUAGGCCAAGGUGGGGUGUUUGGGAGUGAAAAAGGAAUAGGAACGUAGCUCUUCGGAGUGUUAUAAUCUAUUUUCAUAGCUCCUCAGGCGCCUCAGGACUGCGCUUCGGCAAGGACUUUGGCAUAAUGAUUCUAUACCGCCCGUCUU